RNAcentral lists this ribosomal RNA (440 nucleotides) under uncultured bacterium. RNAcentral's name for it is "bacterial SSU rRNA". It matches the Rfam family "Bacterial small subunit ribosomal RNA", at positions 338 to 770 of the family's 1533-position model. The record is from RNAcentral.
CCUACGGGAGGCUGCAGUGGGGAAUAUUGCACAAUGGGGGAAACCCUGAUGCAGCCAUGCCGCGUGUAUGAAGAAGGCCUUCGGGUUGUAAAGUACUUUCAGUUGUGAGGAAGGCGUUGGAGUUAAUAGCUUCAGCGCUUGACGUUAGCAACAGAAGAAGCACCGGCUAACUCCGUGCCAGCAGCCGCGGUAAUACGGAGGGUGCGAGCGUUAAUCGGAAUUACUGGGCGUAAAGCGCAUGCAGGCGGUCUGUUAAGCGAGAUGUGAAAGCCCCGGGCUCAACCUGGGAAUUGCAUUUCGAACUGGCGAACUAGAGUCUUGUAGAGGGGGGUAGAAUUCCAGGUGUAGCGGUGAAAUGCGUAGAGAUCUGGAGGAAUACCGGUGGCGAAGGCGGCCCCCUGGACAAAGACUGACGCUCAGGCACGAAAGCGUGGGGAGCA